CAAAAACAUCGCCUCCUGCAACUAAGUUAAGUAUAGGAGGUCCAGCCUGCCCAGUGACUAUAAGUUCAACGGCCGCGGUAUUUUGACCGUGCAAAGGUAGCGCAAUCACUUGUCUUUUAAAUGGAGACCUGUAUGAAUGGCCAAACGAGGGCUUAACUGUCUCCCCCUUCCAGUCAGUGAAAUUGAUCUACCCGUGCAGAAGCGGGUAUAAUUCUACAAGACGAGAAGACCCUUUGGAGCUUAAGGUAUAAAGACUAACCACGUUAAACAACUACAUGAAAAGGAAGAACCUAGUGGAAGAUAGAACUUUACCUUCGGUUGGGGCGACCACGGGGGAAAAACCAGCCUCCGAGUGGAAUGGGCUACAUCCCUAGAACCAAGAGAAACAUCUCUAAGGCACAGAACAUCUGACCAAACAUGAUCCGGCCUCAUGGCCGAUCAACGAACCAAGUUACCCUAGGGAUAACAGCGCAAUCCUCUCCCAGAGUCCAUAUCGACGAGGGGGUUUACGACCUCGAUGUUGGAUCAGGACAUCCUAAUGGUGCAGCCGCUAUUAAGGGUUCGUUUGUUCAACGAUUAAAGUCCUACGUGAUCUGAG
Molecule: ribosomal RNA, 598 nt
Filed under: Abbottina rivularis (Chinese false gudgeon)
Lineage: Eukaryota; Metazoa; Chordata; Actinopteri; Cypriniformes; Gobionidae
Description: partial 16S ribosomal RNA
Rfam family: Bacterial large subunit ribosomal RNA
Source: RNAcentral